This 29-nucleotide small RNA is filed under the name Bombyx mori (domestic silkworm). RNAcentral describes it as "piRNA piR-bmo-1927632". The record is from RNAcentral. Lineage: Eukaryota; Metazoa; Arthropoda; Insecta; Lepidoptera; Bombycidae.
UCAGAUAUAUCAUCGCCUAACUGGCGAAU